AGUGAACGCUGGCGGUAGGCCUAACACAUGCAAGUCGAACGGCAGCACAGUAAGAGCUUGCUCUUACGGGUGGCGAGUGGCGGACGGGUGAGGAAUACAUCGGAAUCUACUUUUUCGUGGGGGAUAACGUAGGGAAACUUACGCUAAUACCGCAUACGACCUACGGGUGAAAGCAGGGGAUCUUCGGACCUUGCGCGAUUGAAUGAGCCGAUGUCGGAUUAGCUAGUUGGCGGGGUAAAGGCCCACCAAGGCGACGAUCCGUAGCUGGUCUGAGAGGAUGAUCAGCCACACUGGAACUGAGACACGGUCCAGACUCCUACGGGAGGCAGCAGUGGGGAAUACUGGACAAUGGGCGCAAGCCUGAUCCAGCCAUACCGCGUGGGUGAAGUAGGCCUUCGGGUUGUAAAGCCCUUUUGUUGGGAAAGAAAAGCAGCAGGUUAAUACCCCGCUGUUCUGACGGUACCCAAAGAAUAAGCACCGGCUAACUUCGUG
RNAcentral lists this ribosomal RNA (492 nucleotides) under uncultured bacterium. Its description in RNAcentral is "partial 16S ribosomal RNA". It matches the Rfam family "Bacterial small subunit ribosomal RNA", at positions 29 to 507 of the family's 1533-position model. The record is from RNAcentral.